RNAcentral lists this ribosomal RNA (505 nucleotides) under uncultured bacterium. Its description in RNAcentral is "partial 16S ribosomal RNA". It matches the Rfam family "Bacterial small subunit ribosomal RNA", at positions 28 to 507 of the family's 1533-position model. The record is from RNAcentral.
GACGAACGCUGGCGGCGUGCCUAAUACAUGCAAGUAGAACGCACAGUUUAUACCGUAGCUUGCUACACCAUAGACUGUGAGUUGCGAACGGGUGAGUAACGCGUAGGUAACCUGCCUGGUAGCGGGGGAUAACUAUUGGAAACGAUAGCUAAUACCGCAUAAUAUUAAUUAUUGCAUGAUAAUUUAUUGAAAGGUGCAAUUGCACCACUACCAGAUGGACCUGCGUUGUAUUAGCUAGUAGGUGAGGUAACGGCUCACCUAGGCGACGAUACAUAGCCGACCUGAGAGGGUGAUCGGCCACACUGGGACUGAGACACGGCCCAGACUCCUACGGGAGGCAGCAGUAGGGAAUCUUCGGCAAUGGACGAAAGUCUGACCGAGCAACGCCGCGUGAGUGAAGAAGGUUGUCGGAUCGUAAAGCUCUGUUGUAAGAGAAGAACGGGUGUGAGAGUGGAAAGUUCACACUGUGACGGUAUCUUACCAGAAAGGGACGGCUAACUACGUG